Molecule: long non-coding RNA, 219 nt
Organism: Scleropages formosus (Asian bonytongue)
Lineage: Eukaryota; Metazoa; Chordata; Actinopteri; Osteoglossiformes; Osteoglossidae
Exons: 3
Source: RefSeq, a predicted model, not a curated record
GGGGGAGGCGGUGUAAGCGCGCAGAAGCUACUCACCGAGGAAGAUGAGCUGAAACAGCAACCAAGGUAUUUUUUCACACCUAACAGCCAGUAAUGGCAGAGGAAGCCCAGGAUUUCCUGAGCGGGUCCUCAGGAUCCGCAACAUCUUUGGAUAUUGCAUGUUAGAUGUGGGAAGACAAACGACAAAAGGAGAAUGCAGUAUGUUAGUGGAAACCAGGGA